Molecule: transfer RNA, 84 nt
Filed under: Actinomycetes bacterium
Lineage: Bacteria; Bacillati; Actinomycetota; Actinomycetes
Description: Actinobacteria bacterium tRNA-Leu
Rfam family: tRNA
About the family: Transfer RNA (tRNA) molecules are approximately 80 nucleotides in length. Their secondary structure includes four short double-helical elements and three loops (D, anti-codon, and T loops).
Source: RNAcentral
GCGAGAGUGGUGGAAUGGUAGACACGCUAGAUUUAGGAUCUAGUGCCUUCGGGCGUGCGGGUUCAAGUCCCGCCUCUCGCACUA